GUCGGGCAACCGACUAUGGCGAUAAACGAUGCGUGGAAUAAGCGUAGUGGACCCGGGGGCAGUACCCGGCGCCUCCACCA
Molecule: transfer-messenger RNA, 80 nt
Filed under: Acidiphilium cryptum JF-5
Lineage: Bacteria; Pseudomonadati; Pseudomonadota; Alphaproteobacteria; Acetobacterales; Acidocellaceae
Also listed under: 1 other name
Description: transfer-messenger RNA Acidi_crypt_JF5
Rfam family: Alphaproteobacteria transfer-messenger RNA
About the family: Bacterial tmRNA, also known as 10Sa RNA or SsrA, is named for its dual tRNA and mRNA-like properties. Its role is to liberate the mRNA from a stalled ribosome. To accomplish this part of the tmRNA is used as a reading frame that ends in a translation stop signal.
Source: RNAcentral